GUUUGAUUCAUGGCUCAGAACGAACGCUGGCGGCAGGCCUAACACAUGCAAGUCGAGCGCUACCUUCGGGUGGAGCGGCGGACGGGUUAGUAACGCGUGGGAACAUACCCUUUUCUACGGAAUAGCCUCGGGAAACUGAGAGUAAUACCGUAUAAGCCCUUCGGGGGAAAGAUUUAUCGGGAAAGGAUUGGCCCGCGUUAGAUUAGAUAGUUGGUGGGGUAAUGGCCUACCAAGUCUACGAUCUAUAGCUGGUUUUAGAGGAUGAUCAGCAACACUGGGACUGAGACACGGCCCAGACUCCUACGGGAGGCAGCAGUGGGGAAUCUUAGACAAUGGGCGCAAGCCUGAUCUAGCCAUGCCGCGUGUGUGAUGAAGGUCUUAGGAUCGUAAAGCACUUUCGCCAGGGAUGAUAAUGACAGUACCUGGUAAAGAAACCCCGGCUAACUCCGUGCCAGCAGCCGCGGUAAUACGGAGGGGGUUAGCGUUGUUCGGAAUUACUGGGCGUAAAGCGUACGUAGGCGGAUCAGAAAGUAUAGGGUGAAAUCCCAGGGCUCAACCCUGGAACUGCCUUAUAAACUCCUGGUCUUGAGUUCGAGAGAGGUGAGUGGAAUUCCAAGUGUAGAGGUGAAAUUCGUAGAUAUUUGGAGGAACACCAGUGGCGAAGGCGGCUCACUGGCUCGAUACUGACGCUGAGGUACGAAAGUGUGGGGAGCAAACAGGAUUAGAUACCCUGGUAGUCCACACCGUAAACGAUGAAUGCCAGUCGUCGGGCAGUAUACUGUUCGGUGACACACC
Molecule: ribosomal RNA, 795 nt
Filed under: Rhodobacteraceae bacterium MOLA 1457
Lineage: Bacteria; Pseudomonadati; Pseudomonadota; Alphaproteobacteria; Rhodobacterales; Paracoccaceae
Also listed under: 1 other name
Description: bacterial SSU rRNA
Rfam family: Bacterial small subunit ribosomal RNA
Source: RNAcentral